Molecule: ribosomal RNA, 1419 nt
Filed under: Thermococcus radiotolerans
Lineage: Archaea; Methanobacteriati; Methanobacteriota; Thermococci; Thermococcales; Thermococcaceae
Description: 16S ribosomal RNA
Rfam family: Archaeal small subunit ribosomal RNA
Source: RNAcentral
AUUCCGGUUGAUCCUGCCAGAGGCCACUGCUAUGGGGGUCCGACUAAGCCAUGCGAGUCAUGGGGCGCCUUGCGCACCCGGCGGACGGCUCAGUAACACGUCGGUAACCUACCCUCGGGAGGGGGAUAACCCCGGGAAACUGGGGCUAAUCCCCCAUAGGCCUGAGGUACUGGAAGGUCCUCAGGCCGAAAAGGGCUUUGCCCGCCCGAGGAUGGGCCGGCGGCGAUUAGGUAGUUGGUGGGGUAACGGCCCACCAAGCCGAAGAUCGGUACGGGCCAUGAGAGUGGGAGCCCGGAGAUGGACACUGAGACACGGGUCCAGGCCCUACGGGGCGCACAGGCGCGAAACCUCCGCAAUGCGGGCAACCGCGACGGGGGGACCCCCAGUGCCGUGGCAUCGCCACGGCUUUUCCGGAGUGUAAAAAGCUCCGGGAAUAAGGGCUGGGCAAGCCGGUGGCAGCCGCCGCGGUAAUACCGGCGGCCCGAGUGGUGGCCGCUAUUAUUGGGCCUAAAGCGUCCGUAGCCGGGCCUGUAAGUCCCUGGCGAAAUCCACGGCUCAACCGUGGGGCUUGCUGGGGAUACUGCAGGCCUUGGGACCGGGAGAGGCCGGGGGUACCCCUGGGGUAGGGGUGAAAUCCUAUAAUCCCAGGGGGACCGCCAGUGGCGAAGGCGCCCGGCUGGAACGGGUCCGACGGUGAGGGACGAAGGCCAGGGGAGCGAACCGGAUUAGAUACCCGGGUAGUCCUGGCUGUAAAGGAUGCGGGCUAGGUGUCGGGCGAGCUUCGAGCUCGCUCGGUGCCGAAGGGAAGCCGUUAAGCCCGCCGCCUGGGGAGUACGGCCGCAAGGCUGAAACUUAAAGGAAUUGGCGGGGGAGCACUACAAGGGGUGGACGUGCGGUUUAAUUGGAUUCAACGCCGGGAACCUCACCGGGGGCGACGGCAGGAUGAAGGCCAGGCUGAAGGUCUUGCCGGACACGCCGAGAGGAGGUGCAUGGCCGCCGUCAGCUCGUACCGUGAGGCGUCCACUUAAGUGUGGUAACGAGCGAGACCCGCGCCCCCAGUUGCCAGUCCUUCCCGCUUGGGGAGGAGGCACUCUGGGGGGACCGCCGGCGAUAAGCCGGAGGAAGGAGCGGGCGACGGUAGGUCAGUAUGCCCCGAAACCCCCGGGCUACACGCGCGCUACAAUGGGCGGGACAAUGGGAUCCGACCCCGAAAGGGGAAGGGAAUCCCCUAAACCCGCCCCCAGUUCGGAUCGCGGGCUGCAACUCGCCCGCGUGAAGCUGGAAUCCCUAGUACCCGCGUGUCAUCAUCGCGCGGCGAAUACGUCCCUGCUCCUUGCACACACCGCCCGUCACUCCACCCGAGCGGGGUCUGGAUGAGGCCUGGAUCUCCUUCGGGGAGGUCGGGUCGAGUCUGGGCUC